This 463-nucleotide ribosomal RNA is filed under the name uncultured bacterium. Its description in RNAcentral is "SSU rRNA". It matches the Rfam family "Bacterial small subunit ribosomal RNA", at positions 26 to 518 of the family's 1533-position model. The record is from RNAcentral.
AGGAUAAACGCUGGCGGCGUGCCUAACACAUGCAAGUCGAACGCCCUACGCAAGUAGGGAGUGGCGGACGGGUGAGGAACACGUGGGUUAUCUGCCUUUCGGUGAGGAAUACCAGCGAGAAAUCGCUGACAAUACCGCAUACGGUUCUUUCGAGAGAGAGAACGAAAGUCGCAAGACGCCGGGAGAUGAGCCUGCGCCCGAUUAGUUAGUUGGUGGGGUAAAAAGCCUACCAAGACUGCAAUCGGUAGCUGGUCUGAGAGGACGAUCAGCCACACUGGGAUUGAGAACGGCCCAGACUCCUACGGGGGGCAGCAGUGAGGAAUUUUCGUCAAUGGGGGAAACCCUGAACGAGCAACGCCGCGUGCAGGAAGAAGGUUUUCGGAUCGUAAACUGCUUUUCUGUGGGAAGAGAACGGACGGUACCACAGGAAGAAGCCCCGGCUAACUACGCGCCAGCAGGCCGC